RNAcentral lists this ribosomal RNA (254 nucleotides) under uncultured bacterium. RNAcentral describes it as "partial 16S ribosomal RNA". It matches the Rfam family "Bacterial small subunit ribosomal RNA", at positions 524 to 776 of the family's 1533-position model. The record is from RNAcentral.
UACGGAGGGUGCAAGCGUUAUCCGGAAUCACUGGGUUUAAAGGGUGCGUAGGCGGCUUUAUAAGUCUGUUGUGAAAGCCAUCGGCUUAACCGAUCGAAUUGCAAUGGAUACUGUAGAGCUUGAAUCAGGUUGAGGCAGGCGGAAUGCGACAUGUAGCGGUGAAAUGCUUAGAUAUGUCGUAGAACACCAAUUGCGAAGGCAGCUUGCUGGACCUUGAUUGACGCUGAGGCACGAAAGCGUGGGGAGCAAACAGG